CGCAAAUUAUUAGCCUUCUUUUUUGCUCAAGAAAAAAUAUUUAAUUCUCUCUCCCUAUUCUUCCCUUUUCUUUCAUCCUCCCUCACAAUCUGCAGCCCUGAUCUCAAGCAAGCAAUCCGAUAAAUUUGAUUUGUUUAUAGCUUCAAUUCAGCUGCGAUUUUCGUUUAGAUCCUCGCGUUAACUUUCUGUUCAGGAAUCAUGUCACUUGCACGGCCUCACUGGGCGCGAGAUGGUCAUUUCCGAAGUGAUGGUAGGUCGUCUUAUGGCAGAAUGAGAACAACAGCUGCUGCUAACUACGAGUGGAGCCACGAUUGCCCCUCUGAUUCAAACUUUUAUAUGAAGAAUCUCGGCCUGUCCAGUGACUUCUCUCGGGACUCAAUGCAGUAUAGACCAAAGUAUGACCAUGUCUGGCGUGAUGUCGUACCACCUUCAAAGAGGAGGAAGGUCUCGGAUUUCUCACAUGAAAGCACUGGCAGUGGCAGGCCCUAUCAACAAUCCCUUAUUCAUGAAAAUGGUCUUGAAAACAAUGCUGGCAUUUGGCAACAUGUACCUCCCUUAUAUGCCAAUGCUUACUCUGGUGUUCCUUCGGUCUGCAACAAUAGGUCAGCUACAAUAGCUGGAAUGAGGCCUGACGAUGCCGGUGCUUAUUCUUCAACUACCUCCAAGCGAGACCGCUCAAAAUAUGAGGAUGAUGAAGAAGUGAUUUUUAUGUCAAGAGAUGAAAUAGAGAGGCACUCUCCUUCAAGAAAAGAUGGCAUUGAUUUGCUGCAUGAGACACAUCUGCGAUAUUCGUACUGUGCCUUCCUUCAGAAUCUUGGAGUUCGGCUUGAUCUCCCACAGACCACUAUCGGAACUGCUAUGGUUGUGUGUCAUCGUUUUUUUGCUCGUCGCUCUCAUGCCUCUCAUGAUAGAUUUUUCAUAGCUACUGCUGCUCUUUUCCUUGUCUCUAAGUCGGAAGAGACACCACGACCUCUUAAUGACGUGCUGAGAGUGUCAUGUGAAACUUUCCACAAGCAGGAUUUCGUUGUGCUCUCUCGCAUGUUCCCUGUUGAUUGGUUUGAGCAAUAUCGUGAACGAAUUACAGAUGCUGAACAAUUGAUUUUGACAACCUUAAACUUUGAGCUUGGCGUGCAGCACCCAUAUGAAUCUUUGACAUCCACUCUUGAAAAAUUAGGUUUCUCACAAUCCAUUUUGGUGAAUCUGGCAUUGAGCUUGGUCAGUGAAGGGGUCUAUAGAGGAUUAGCAUGCUCACCUUAUGAUAUUAAUAGCUGGCGGUUGAUGCGCUGUUCAUCAAAUGUUUUAUUUUUCAUCUCAAGUUGAAAUAGUGAUAUCAUGUGGAUGCCUUUUCCAUGCUGAACCUUAAUGACAUGUUCAUUGGCUGUAGAAGAUCAUGGAUGAAUCAAAUCUAAUAUUUCCAUUUGGGCAUUCUGAUCGGUGUUUGGAAAUCCGUAUGGGGAGCAUAUGUUUCCCAUUAACUCUAUUUCCAUAUAGGAUGCCUAAGAACAGUCUCAGGGAUUCAAUUCUAGCUGCACUGCUUUUGCAGAAUAUGGCCCAACUGGUUUUCUUUCAUCACUUCCCAGUUCCCAAAAGACCUGCUUUCAUCACUUCCUAAAAUGACUUGCUUUCAUCACUUCCCAAAAAGACUUGCUCUCAUUGUAUACAAUAUUCACCUGAUCACCUCCAAUAUUUCCAACCUCUGCAAACUUACAUUCAAGAUAUUCUAGUAUGCUUGGAUUCUCUAAACAACUCUCCAUGCCUUCCAUUCUUCUAGUACUUCUUGUUUCAGCUUCAAAUUUUUUGUUUUGAAAUUGGUCUGAUUAUCUGCAGUUUUAACAUUGCUGUGAGACAUCUACGGUAAUAAUGUCCUCUUUAUCUAGGCUUCUAAAAGUAAAAUCACUACUCAAAGCUUAGAUUUCAGACCUCUGUCCUUUCCCACUGUAUUUUAAACAAUGAGUCUUAUAUGUUAGAAUUUGAAGAAAAUGGGUGGGUGGAGAAGGGGGGGGGGGGGUAUGCAUUCAAAACAAACAUAUACUAUGGUUUAUAAAUUUAUAGAACUUUUUUGACACUCCCUCCCCUCUUUGAAACUGAUAUGUUGAAACAGUGAUGGGAGAGAAAGGAAUCAUUUGUGUCUUCCUCUUUAUUGGAAAGUAGAAUUCUGUGACGGUCAAUAAGCAUCUUUUGGUAGCUUCGCCAUCGCAUUGCUGUGUGGCAUUAACCCAUCCUACCUUGUCUGUAUGAACCUACAAAAACAUAGAAAUAUCUCGGUUGAGAGAAGUAAUUGCAUUUUCAGAAUCUUUUUUUUUAAAUCUAUAAAUAUUUGUCUACAAGGUGGGGACUUGAGAACUCCACUAGUUUCCAGUUCAUGUUCUGUAGCAUUGUAAAAAAAUGUUGCUCGGUGUAUUAACUUUUCAAAAGCCUGGCUAUAGAAGGAAGGAUUAAUAUUUUUACGAGUACUCUAUAUACAUUUACACAUUAUAAUUGUCCAUAGAUGAUCUCAGUUUGUGUGGUAGUAAUGUUUUUCAGUUUGAAAUCUUAGCUAGCUAAAAAAUUAGUCGCCCCCAGGUGCUGGAUGCUCCAGCCUCGCUUUAAGUGCUCCAUUUCAGUUGUCCUGAGGUUUGGAAUUUGGUAGCGACACCAUCUAUAGGUGUCAUUUAGCAGAAUACUAGUAUUUCUUAGAGUGAUUAGUGUAGGACUCACCUUAUAUUUCUUGCCAGCUCUUACUACAUUAAAUCAUGGUGUGUCUAUCAUGAACGUUUGAUGUGUUAGUUUUAAUGUCUAUAUGGCCGUGGUCUAAUAUCCCUCUUGACAUUUGGCAAGUGAAAACUUGUUUAUUUUCCUGAACAUCCAUAGUACAUGCCACUAUUCGUAAUUCAGUACAAUGUUCAUUACGGGGGGUAGUCCUAUAUACUCCUUCCGUGACAUAAAAAUAUGUGCACUUUCCAUUUUCGUCCGUCCCAUAAAAAUAUGGGCAUUUGCAUUUAUGGAAAGUUAUCCCAAUUUAUUACCCCUAUACAUCAAGUUAUUUACAACUUAUACCACAAUCAAAACAUUAUUAUUAGGGUCCCACUAUCCACUAAAACUACUUUAAACUACCCUUUUCCUCAUAUCUCUUACUUUAUCAAUUUUGUCUUAAUUUCCGUGCCAUAUCACAUGCCCAUAUUUUUAUGGGACAGAGGGAGUAUAUAUAGUUAUAUACUCCAUAAAAUGUUCAUUACUCCUGCAUACAAUGUACAUAGUUAUUUGUUAAGCAUAUACUUAGGGUAAUUAUUUGAUCACGCCCCUAUAUAUAUUUUGUCUUGAUUAGUUAUUAAAUACUACUAUGCAUUUUAACACCUAAGAUGAUGAAUGAUAUCAUGGGCAUUCAUUUGGCAAUCGAUUUCAAUAAUCUGGCUUUGCAUGGGAGAUUUAGCUUGCUUAAGCCUGUUCCUGCUUGUAUGGACAUUUAAGUCAACAUAUAUUUAGCCAGCAAAGGGGGGACUUGAACUGAAGUCAUUGUUUCUAUAAAAGGUGUAACAUAUAUUCUAUAUUAGUAUACACAAUCAACACAUUGCAGAAGAAUCUUGGAUUUUUCCAUCUCAGUUGCAGAAUUAUUCGUUGGCUUAGAAGCUCCCUUUGGCUGCAGUUCAAGCCUCAUCAGAUAGCUGCAGGUGCUGCAUACCUUGCUGCCAAAUUUCUAAAUAUGAAUCUUGCAUCAUGCCAUAAUGUUUGGCACGAGUUCCACACGCCGCCAUCUG
This is a non-coding RNA of Salvia hispanica, 3734 nucleotides long. The record is from RefSeq and is a predicted model, not a curated record. NCBI's taxonomy places the organism in Eukaryota, Viridiplantae, Streptophyta, Magnoliopsida, Lamiales, Lamiaceae.